GACGAACGCUGGCGGCGUGCUUAACACAUGCAAGUCGAACGCUGAAGCUUGGUGCUUGCACUGGGUGGAUGAGUGGCGCACGGGUGUGUAAUACGUGUGUAACCUGCCCUUGACUCUGGGAUAAGCCUGGGAAACUGGGUCUUAUACUGGAUACGACAUGCCACUGCAUGGUGGUGUGUGGAAAGGGUUUUACUGGUUUUGGAUGGGCUCACGGCCUAUCAGCUUGUUGGUGGGGUAAUGGCCUACCAAGGCGACGACGGGUAGCCGGCCUGAGAGGGUGACCGGCCACACUGGGACUGAGACACGGCCCAGACUCCUACGGGAGGCAGCAGUGGGGAAUAUUGCACAAUGGGCGGAAGCCUGAUGCAGCAACGCCGCGUGAGGGAUGACGGCCUUCGGGUUGUAAACCUCUUUCAGCACGGAAGAAGCGAGAGUGACGGUACGUGCAGAAGAAGCGCCGGCUAACUACGUG
RNAcentral lists this ribosomal RNA (472 nucleotides) under uncultured bacterium. Its description in RNAcentral is "partial 16S ribosomal RNA". It matches the Rfam family "Bacterial small subunit ribosomal RNA", at positions 28 to 507 of the family's 1533-position model. The record is from RNAcentral.